This 72-nucleotide transfer RNA is filed under the name Actinomycetota bacterium. RNAcentral describes it as "tRNA-Arg". It matches the Rfam family "tRNA". From Rfam's summary of the family: Transfer RNA (tRNA) molecules are approximately 80 nucleotides in length. Their secondary structure includes four short double-helical elements and three loops (D, anti-codon, and T loops). Further hydrogen bonds mediate the characteristic L-shaped molecular structure. tRNAs have two regions of fundamental functional importance: the anti-codon, which is responsible for specific mRNA codon recognition, and the 3' end, to which the tRNAs corresponding amino acid is attached (by aminoacyl-tRNA synthetases). tRNAs cope with the degeneracy of the genetic code in two manners: having more than one tRNA (with a specific anti-codon) for a particular amino acid; and 'wobble' base-pairing, i.e. permitting non-standard base-pairing at the 3rd anti-codon position. Lineage: Bacteria; Bacillati; Actinomycetota. The record is from RNAcentral.
GCCCUCGUAGCUCAGUGGAUAGAGCGCCGGUUUCCUAAACCGGGCGCGCAGGUUCGAUUCCUGCCGGGGGCA